UACGUAGGGGGCAAGCGUUGUCCGGAAUCAUUGGGCGUAAAGAGCGUGUAGGCGGCCCGGUAAGUCCGCUGUAAAAGUCAAAGGCUCAACCUUUGAAUGUCAGUGGAUACUGCCGGGCUAGAGUCCGGAAGAGGCGAGUGGAACUCCUGGUGUAGCGGUGGAAUGCGCAGAUAUCAGGAAGAACACCAACGGCGAAGGCAGCUCGCUGGGACGGUACUGACGCUGAGGAGCGAAAGCGUGGGGAGCGAACAGG
RNAcentral lists this ribosomal RNA (253 nucleotides) under uncultured bacterium. Its description in RNAcentral is "partial 16S ribosomal RNA". It matches the Rfam family "Bacterial small subunit ribosomal RNA", at positions 524 to 776 of the family's 1533-position model. The record is from RNAcentral.